AUCUAAGUCACGCGGUCUCAAGUUCUCAGCGUCAGCUCUCACCAGACUUCCUUUCCUCACCUUGUCCCUUCAGGCCUCUGAAUGAGUCUCUAUCACCAUGAAGAAAAGAACAUGCCUGGGCUGCCCACAGUAACAAGGAGAAGGGUGGAAGACAGGUGAACAGACAGAGGCUCCCUAACCAAGUGCAGCCUAGAUGUCAAGACAGCUGCAAACAUGGAUAGGUGGGGGCGUCAAGGAUACAGCAGAUGGUUUCCUGUUUUGGGUGAACAACACUGACCUGCACAACUUUCCAAGUGGAAUCAACCACAACUAUGGCUUGCUUUGAGUCUAUAACCUUUCUGUCUCCAAGUGCAAUUUGUGGUGGAUGAUAAUACCAUGGCACAGUUCCACUUGGCAGCCCCCAAGCUUUCAAAAAAAAGGAAACAGAAAAGGGAGCUGUGAUAUUUAUUUCGCUAUUCAGCUUUUCAACAGCCUGAUAUGAAAAAUCAACUUUUCUCAAACCAGACAGCCAGCUUUUCAGACGCAAUGUCAUUGUUUUCUCUCUUGAGAGAAGCAACUAGAUUGUCAACCUAACUAAGCAUCAGAUGACUUUAUUACUAGGUCAUAAAGGAAAAAAUGUAUUAGGAAUCUGUGCUUUGGCAUUAGGCUGCUAUAAAAUAGCUCUAAUUAAGGUUAUGAAAAAUGAUGCUUUGGGAAAAAAGUAUUUGGUCUACAGUAGCUUCCCAAAAGGUCAACACCAGUGCUUUCAUUUAGACUCUGAAACCAAAAUUACUGCCUUUAGUGUUGAUGGAAAAAUUUUUAAAAAGUGUGAUGUAGUGAAAAUACCUCUGUGCUGGGAGUCAGAAAGUCUGAAUUCCAUUCCAGCUUUAGCUCUAAAGAAACCACAUGUCUCUGCAGGAGGGGAGGGCUAGCUUUGGACUGAGUUUAAUUCCAACUUUAUAAAGCUGAGAAACAGAGUCGGGCCUCGGUGCUCCAGGCAUAUUUGAGAUUUCUCUUGCAGGGGCUUAAAUAUCAUGUAACACAUCCUAAUCUGCCUGUGAUCUGGUCACCUGCAGCUAUGGUGUGGCCACUGGGAGGAAGAGAUUUUGUCUUAUUCAUCUCUGUAUCACCACUAUUUAGUUUAAUGAAGAAUUUAACAAAUAAUAGAUGCUUACUAGAUAGUUACAGUGUUUUAACCGUGUAGUCGGCA
Non-coding RNA from Odocoileus virginianus texanus, 1189 nucleotides. NCBI's taxonomy places the organism in Eukaryota, Metazoa, Chordata, Mammalia, Artiodactyla, Cervidae. The record is from RefSeq and is a predicted model, not a curated record.